AGCGGCAGACGGGUGAGUAACGCGUGGGAAUCUACCGUGCCCUACGGAAUAGCUCCGGGAAACUGGAAUUAAUACCGUAUACGCCCUACGGGGGAAAGAUUUAUCGGGGUAUGAUGAGCCCGCGUUGGAUUAGCUAGUUGGUGGGGUAAAGGCCUACCAAGGCGACGAUCCAUAGCUGGUCUGAGAGGAUGAUCAGCCACAUUGGGACUGAGACACGGCCCAAACUCCUACGGGAGGCAGCAGUGGGGAAUAUUGGACAAUGGGCGCAAGCCUGAUCCAGCCAUGCCGCGUGAGUGAUGAAGGUCUUAGGAUUGUAAAGCUCUUUCACCGGUGAAGAUAAUGACGGUAACCGGAGAAGAAGCCCCGGCUAACUUCGUGCCAGCAGCCGCGGUAAUACGAAGGGGGCUAGCGUUGUUCGGAAUUACUGGGCGUAAAGCGCACGUAGGCGGAUAUUUAAGUCAGGGGUGAAAUCCCAGAGCUCAACUCUGGAACUGCCUUUGAUACUGGGUAUCUUGAGUAUGGAAGAGGUGAGUGGAAUUCCGAGUGUAGAGGUGAAAUUCGUAGAUAUUCGGAGGAACACCAGUGGCGAAGGCGGCUCACUGGUCCAUUACUGACGCUGAGGUGCGAAAGCGUGGGGAGCAAACAGGAUUAGAUACCCUGCUAGUCCACGCCGUAAACGAUGAAUGUUAGCCGUCGGGCA
This 700-nucleotide ribosomal RNA is filed under the name uncultured bacterium. RNAcentral describes it as "bacterial SSU rRNA". It matches the Rfam family "Bacterial small subunit ribosomal RNA", at positions 94 to 829 of the family's 1533-position model. The record is from RNAcentral.